Molecule: ribosomal RNA, 253 nt
Filed under: uncultured bacterium
Lineage: Bacteria
Description: partial 16S ribosomal RNA
Rfam family: Bacterial small subunit ribosomal RNA
Source: RNAcentral
GACAGAGGUGCCGAGCGUUAGGCGGAAUCACUGGGCUUAAAGCGUGUGUAGGUGGAUGCCUAAGUACCUUGUGAAAUCCCACGGCUUAACCGUGGAACUGCUUGGUAUACUGGGUGUCUUGAGCCAGCUAGGGGCUACCGGAACAAAUGGUGGAGCGGUGAAAUGCGUAGAUAUCGGAAGGAACGCCGGUGGCGAAAGCGAGUCGCUGGACCUCUUCUGACGCUGAGGCGCGAAAGCCAGGGGAGCAAACGGG